GACGAACGCUGGCGGCGUGCUUAACACAUGCAAGUCGAACGGAAAGGCCCUGCUUUUGUGGGGUGCUCGAGUGGCGAACGGGUGAGUAACACGUGAGUAACCUGCCCUUGACUUUGGGAUAACUUCAGGAAACUGGGGCUAAUACCGGAUAGGAGCUCCUGCUGCAUGGUGGGGGUUGGAAAGUUUCGGCGGUUGGGGAUGGACUCGCAGCUUAUCAGCUUGUUGGUGGGGUAGUGGCUUACCAAGGCUUUGACGGGUAGCCGGCCUGAGAGGGUGACCGGCCACCUUGGGACUGAGAUACGGCCCAGACUCCUACGGGAGGCAGCAGUGGGGAAUAUUGCACAAUGGGCGGAAGCCUGAUGCAGCAACGCCGCGUGCGGGAUGACGGCCUUCGGGUUGUAAACCGCUUUCGCCUGUGACGAAGCGUGAGUGACGGUAAUGGGUAAAGAAGCACCGGCUAACUACGUG
RNAcentral lists this ribosomal RNA (468 nucleotides) under uncultured bacterium. Its description in RNAcentral is "partial 16S ribosomal RNA". It matches the Rfam family "Bacterial small subunit ribosomal RNA", at positions 28 to 507 of the family's 1533-position model. The record is from RNAcentral.